Molecule: non-coding RNA, 27 nt
Filed under: Cricetulus griseus (Chinese hamster)
Lineage: Eukaryota; Metazoa; Chordata; Mammalia; Rodentia; Cricetidae
Source: RNAcentral
CUGAACAUUAAGUAGCACCUGCCUAAC